RNAcentral lists this non-coding RNA (23 nucleotides) under Arabidopsis thaliana (thale cress). The record is from RNAcentral. Lineage: Eukaryota; Viridiplantae; Streptophyta; Magnoliopsida; Brassicales; Brassicaceae.
UCAAGCUCGUUAAGACUAGAUGG